This 257-nucleotide unclassified non-coding RNA is filed under the name Hevea brasiliensis (rubber tree). The record is from RNAcentral. Lineage: Eukaryota; Viridiplantae; Streptophyta; Magnoliopsida; Malpighiales; Euphorbiaceae.
UUUGGAUCCACCAACACUCUCUCAUCAAUAGAUAAGUGUGUCGAGGGUACUAUUGAUCCAUUACGCGAAACACCUUCAACAUAUUUAUGUACACUACCAACAGGAUUUUCUUCCUCUUCUCUUUCUCUGCUCUUCUCACUGCAACUCAUAGUUGCGAAAUUCGAAUCAAAUUAUCCCUGAAUGCCUCAUUCUCAACCCUCACACACUUUAAACCUAUAAAUUACUUGCAAACAACCACUUUUACCCCCAACACUGAA